Molecule: ribosomal RNA, 711 nt
Filed under: Triticum aestivum (bread wheat)
Lineage: Eukaryota; Viridiplantae; Streptophyta; Magnoliopsida; Poales; Poaceae
Description: partial small subunit ribosomal RNA
Source: RNAcentral
AUGAAUAUUGCCAUCCUAUCCCGUUGGCUCUGGUGCAUCUCGCGUCACGGUGGCCUCUGGUUAGACAUCAUCCGGAACAAGUACCUGCGUGGGCAACCCCUAGACUUCUGUCAGCACACUGGCCGUUCCCAGUUCUGGCAGUCGGUCGUCCAACUUCUCCCAGUCCUCCGCAUUGGGACCUCCAUCUCGGUUGGAUCUGGGGCUGCAACUUUGUUCUGGUUUAACCGGUGGGCCGGCGACACCCCCUUCACGGCACGCUUCCCUGACCUCUUCUCCAUCGCCGUCGACCCCCUGAUUUCGGUUGAGAGGGCCCUUAUUGACUUAGGGCGCCAGGCAUUCCAUAGGCCAUUUGGGCCUCCGGAUACCGCCACUUGGCGCGAGUUGCUUGAUUGCGUUGCUCUCCACGAGCCGAUAGUGGAUGCUGGCCCGGAUCAGGUGAGGUGGCACCUUGAGCCGUCAGGCCAAUUCUCCACCAAGUCCCUUUACCAGGCCAUCGCCCCCUCCCACGCCUCCCCCCUUACGGCGGUGUGGUCCAUCUGCCUGCCACUGAAAAUUCGGAUCUUCAUGUGGCAGUGGAUUCAUGGACGGACCCCGUCUCGGGUCAAGGUCCGCAAGUGCAAUGGCCCGGGUUCUGGCCUUUGCCCUCUUUGCGGUGUCCCCGAAGACUUGAAUCACAUCUUCUUCUCGUGUGUGUCCGCUCAAUUUGUCUGA